UGCACCCGAAACCCACCCAGGCCCAGCACACGAGACCCACGCACCCAUUCGCACUGCCGCCUCCGCGCGCUCACACUCGCCAGGCACGCGCGCCGCGCCUCCUCGCCGUUUCCGCGUUUCCUUCCUCAACGGCGACCCCGAUGCCACGGCCGGAUGCCACAAUCGGCAACCCGGUGCACGCGCCGUCGUAUAUAAGGAUGCCUCGUUUCCCUAGCCCUAGCCCGCGCCUCCUCCGAACCUCACCCGCCGCCGGCCCCCGAAACCCUAACCCACUCCGGCGAGUAGAUCCGGCACGUCCUGCUCUCUCCGCCACCAGCCGCCAGAGAUGGCCGCCCGCAAUCCAUCUGCGUCCGCCGCACACCCGCUCCACCAGGAUUCCGUUGCCGCCCCCAACUCGCCCCUGCUCGCCGCCGACCCGCUCCACCAGGCUGCCGUGGCCAACCCCAACUCUCCCGUGCUCGCCGCCAACCCGGUCCACCAGGCCAGCGCGGCGGCGUCGGCGGGGAUGUAUGGCGCUCCUGGGGCCCUCCCAACCGAGCAAGGGUCUUUGACGGUGCUGCCGCCCCCGCCGCCGCCACAAGGCGCGCCUGUGAUGAAGACGGUCCAGGGCGUGAACACAUGAUGGCUUCGACGCCCCUGCAAGGACCCCCGGUGAUGCAAGGGGCAAACACGGUGGUGCCGAUGCCCCUGCGGGAGCUGGUCAUGACCCUGCCCCUACAAGGCAGACCUGUGAUGGCACCUCUGCCUUUCCCCAGGGGUCCUCCAUCCAUGAAGGCACCUCCGUCCUUCUAUGAUGUCGCUUCACCAAUGACGGUGCAGCAGCCUCCACAUGCCGGAUACAUGAUGAGCCAGCCGCUGUUGCGUGCCAGCCCUCCACCGAUGGCGGCGCUGCAUCUCCCACAGGCCGUACAGAUGGUGGCACAGCCGCCUUUGCCAGCUGGCCCCCUCCUCUCAAGCGUCACCGUCCUGACUACUUUGACAUGCCUUUUGGACCGCGGAUGACUGGUUUUGAGCUGGAAAUAGCUGGAUUUGAUGAAUCAAUGGGACUGCCUUAUGGGUCUUACAUAAACAAUGAGAUGCCUUCUGUUGGUUCUUAUUAGCCACAUCUUCCUUCAGACGCAUCAAACACCCUACAUGUUGAAGGUUUCCCACCCAACUGUACUAGACGGGAACUUGCACAUAUCCUUUGCUAUUAUUAUUUUGAGUUUAUUUGUCAUUUUAUUAAUAAGGGAACUAUGUUGUAUGUUUAUGUUCUUACCAAUCCUAUGUCUCAGUCUUUUCUUUUGUGUUUUAGCUUGCACCAUUUAGGGCUUCAGCUCCUUGACUCUUGCUUCUCUAGAUAUAUUU
Molecule: non-coding RNA, 1347 nt
Organism: Aegilops tauschii subsp. strangulata
Lineage: Eukaryota; Viridiplantae; Streptophyta; Magnoliopsida; Poales; Poaceae
Source: RefSeq, a predicted model, not a curated record